AUGGAUUUUCCAGAAAGAACCAGCCCUAGCAACCUGCCAUCAGAUGAGUCACUUAAGCAUUUGAAUCCUAUUUCUUUCUCAGUUCGUGGCAAGAAGGUGGGUGAAAGGCAAGGCGACAGGACUCAUGGGGGCUCCUUGGGCGCAGCCGUAGGGUCCGGCUCUCUGAGGGUGAUGGGCAUCGUCUCCUGCUCCUUCCACCUCCGAGACCUCCCGCUUCGGAAAUCCUGUGCCUGUGCUAACCCACUGGGCAGAAACCAGAACUGGUUGUUAGCACAAACCUUCCAGCUGCAAGGCAAAGGGAUUGCGAGAUACCUGACAUUUCAAAAGACAGCUGGAAUGAGCGAGAUAUCAAUGGACACAUUCGUUAAAUGUCACCACUUUUGUUUCUCUUCAACAUUCAGUGCCUAAGUUAUUCUAAAUUAAUUACCCAGCCACUUGAUUUAUUCUGUACAUCCCCCUCCCUGCUCCCUCCUACCCUCUCCAGACUUUAGAGCAGUGCAAUCUUAUUGCCUUUGUUUUCAAGCUACUCAGCUGUGAAAGGUGAAGAGCCCUCCAAGGAGGGAGGACGUGGUCCAUGCAGCCCUGGCUGCUGUACUGUGCCCUCGGGCUGCGCACCAGAAGCUGAGCCUGGCUGUUGCCACCGAAGCAAACCCACCUCUGUCUUAUAGAUGUGGGUCACAUGACCUGCUCAGGAUAGCCUGGGCAAGCUGGAGAGUCAGGGCUGAACCCAGAUCUUCUGGCUCUUAAGUUUACCAAAUGUAGUGGCGUGGAAGAGAUGAACCUGUCCUCACGUGGCAAAUCUGGCAAGAUACAACAUUGCAUGUCAGGCAGUCAUGGGGAUGAAACAGAAUGGAGAAUACAGUUCUAGCCUCAGCUUCCUGGCCAGGGAGAGAGCAAGCCAGAAGCAUCAGGGCAGCCCCAGGUUUAAGACCAGGAGGCACAGAAAGAAACCCCUCUGUGUAAGGAGUCAGGCAUCUCUGGACCGUCUGGAAAAGAAAGCUAGUGGCAAUUAAAGGAGGAUGGUUUGCGAAGCUUGUCUCGUUCUUCAAUUUCACUAUUCACUCUAACUGCAGUGUGUCAUCAGCAGUAAUUUCUCCAGGGAGAUGAAGGACUAUGGUACAAAGGGGCCAUAACCCUGUCAGCUGUGAUUAGCAAGUCCUCUCUCAUCUCCAGGACUCAUGUUUCCAAAAACACUGAGAAUUUCCAGCCGUAGGUUCUCACUCCUCAUUGUCCUAGCCCAAAGGGUCCCCAUGAGCCUGGCUCAGGCACAGGCUGCAAUGUGAAGCCACAGAAAACAGAAGAGAUGCUACAUGUCUCAGGAUGCCUGAAGGCACCUGCCCACAUCACUGCUCUGUCUGCAUAAUCCCCGAUGUGUCACCAAACCUCCCCAAUCUGUGCAGAAAAAAGAGUCACCUCAGGGAAAGGAGUCACACAUCUCCCCACUCUGCCCCAAGGACUAAUUUAUUGCCAGUGAGCCAUCCUCAGCUGAGGCCCCUGCAAGAGGAGACUCACCCCUCUGGUACUGAACAGGAAGAGAUGGAAGGCAGGAGAGCUGAGCUAGCUCAGCUCAGCUAACUCCUGAGUUUGCACAACUCCUCUGAGCCCUUGGAGUUCUUCUGCCUGCCUCUCCCAUGCCAGCCCAUCAUGGACUUCCCUUUUCAACAAGUCUGAUGACACAGGCUUUGUUUGGAGUUGUGUGUUGUAGAGUGAUGAGCCCUCCUGCCAUUUCUGAGCUUUCCAGUAGAGCUACCAAGUUACAGCAAGACUUCACUCUGCCUGGCAUUGUUUAACACAGGACAUGUUUAUGGGGUGACUGAUAGGGCUGGGUGUGAUGAGUGGACUCCACAAUUCUUCAGCUAUUCUUGCAGGAGUAAUUGAUGUGGGGGAACAAAUGAAUGUGCAUGAGUGGUGGUUCACAAAGAGGCCACUGCAGGGCUCUCUCCAGGAAGGAAUGAGGGUUGGGUCUCAGAGGGUACACGUAGGGUUGCACUAAGGAGGGUAUACAUGUAGGUGGAUGGCUUAGGCAAUCCUUCUCCAGGCUUAUUGCGUUACAGAGUUAUUUCCUCUUUAUGUAUCUGUCUCCUCCUCUGAAUUGUGAGCUCCUUGAAGAGAUGUGUUUUGUUAGAAGGCAGCUCAGCAUCAUGUUGGGAUACAAACGUUGCUUGGCUUCACGUUUUUCCCCAAAGUGAAAAUCCAGCUGGUUUGCUCCCCAGUUUGUGUCUGAAGCAGUAUCUGGUAUUUAUAGAGGACUGAACCGAGGGCUUCAGCAUCAUGCUUAAGCAUGUGGACAAUGGGAUUUAGUUACCUGAGUUCAGUUGUAUGACCAUGGAUAGCUUUCUUGACCUCUUAUGGUUAAAGAGAAAAUUAAGUGAAGUAAUGGCUGUAAGGCACUUAGAACAGUGCCCAGCAUAGAAGUGUGUAGUUGGGGCACCUGGGUGGCUCAGGGGUUGAGCAUCUGCCUUCAGCCCAGGGCGUGAUCCUAGAGUCCUGGGAUCAACUCCCACGUCCAGCUCCCUGCAUGGAGCCUGCUUCUCCCUCUGCCUGUGUCUCUGCCUCUCUUUGUGUAUGUCUCUCACGAAUAAAUAAAUAAAAAUCUUUUUUAAAAAGUGCGUA
Long non-coding RNA from Vulpes vulpes (red fox), 2613 nucleotides. NCBI's taxonomy places the organism in Eukaryota, Metazoa, Chordata, Mammalia, Carnivora, Canidae. The record is from Ensembl.